Populus trichocarpa (black cottonwood) is the source of this 148-nucleotide non-coding RNA. Lineage: Eukaryota; Viridiplantae; Streptophyta; Magnoliopsida; Malpighiales; Salicaceae. The record is from Rfam.
UAAUUUGUUUGGGGUAGAUCAUCAUCUAGUUGUGGCAUAUCUACACCUGACUGCUCAGAAUCACUAGUUUUCUUAACCCUGACUACAUCAUCCUUUAAAAAUGCAUAUCUCUCCCAAAAUAUAUAUGUGUAAACAUGGUUAACAAGAA